CCUACGGGAGGCAGCAGUGGGGAAUUUUGCGCAAUGCUCGUAAGAGUGACGCAGCGACGCCGCGUGAGUGAAGAAGUAUUUCGGUAUGUAAAGCUCUAUCAGCAGGGAAGAAAAUGACAGUACCUGACCAAGAAGCCCCGGCUAACUACGUGCCAGCAGCCGCGGUAAUACGUAGGGGGCAAGCGUUAUCCGGAUUUACUGGGUGUAACGGGAGCGUAGACGGUUAUGUAAGUCUGGAGUGAAAGCCCGGGGCCCAACCCCGGGACUGCUUUGGAAACUGUGUAACUGGAGUACAGGAGGGGCAGGCGGAAUUCCUGGUGUAGCGGUGAAAUGCGUAGAUAUCAGGAGGAACACCGGCGGCGAAGGCGGCCUGCUGGACUGAAACUGACGUUGAGGCUCGAAAGCGUGGGGAGCAAACAGGAUUAGAUACCCGUGUAGUC
RNAcentral lists this ribosomal RNA (440 nucleotides) under uncultured bacterium. RNAcentral's name for it is "partial 16S ribosomal RNA". It matches the Rfam family "Bacterial small subunit ribosomal RNA", at positions 338 to 795 of the family's 1533-position model. The record is from RNAcentral.